UAGAGUGGGGCGCUCAUAUUCGCCGUGGACACAAUUUCGCCGUUUUAUGAUUUUGAGGUGUAAAAACUUCAAAGGAUGGUUGAAAUUGAAGAAAUUAUAUGCCGGUAAAUUAUACUUUUAUAACAAAUAUGAUAAUUUUUGAAAAUGAGACCAAAUUUCGGCAUUUACCGCAAAGGACCGAAAAAGGACAACGAUUUUCAGCCAAUUUCCUGAAGAAAAAAACGAUUUCAAAGAAGUAUUUCUUUAGUAAUUCUUUGACUGAUUGCCCUAAAUUUCAGUUUUUUUACCCUUUUCAAAUGUCUGCUAUUCAUCUAUAAUGAAAUUUAUUUGAUACAUCUA
Molecule: long non-coding RNA, 339 nt
Filed under: Mytilus galloprovincialis (Mediterranean mussel)
Lineage: Eukaryota; Metazoa; Mollusca; Bivalvia; Mytilida; Mytilidae
Source: RNAcentral